This 253-nucleotide ribosomal RNA is filed under the name uncultured bacterium. RNAcentral describes it as "partial 16S ribosomal RNA". It matches the Rfam family "Bacterial small subunit ribosomal RNA", at positions 524 to 776 of the family's 1533-position model. The record is from RNAcentral.
UACGUAGGGUGCAGGCGUUAAUCGGAAUUACUGGGCGUUAAGCGUGCGCAGGCGGUCUUUUAAGUCAGAUGUGAAAUCCCCGGGCUUAACCUGGGAACUGCGUUUGAAACUGGAAGGCUAGAGUGUGGCAGAGGGGGGUGGAAUUCCACGUGUAGCAGUGAAAUGCGUAGAGAUGUGGAGGAAUACCGAUGGCGAAGGCAGCCCCCUGGGAUAACACUGACGCUCAUGCACGAAAGCGUGGGGAGCAAACAGG